UGGGGACCAGAAAACGCUGAUGGAAGAGUC
RNAcentral lists this non-coding RNA (30 nucleotides) under Homo sapiens (human). The record is from RNAcentral. Lineage: Eukaryota; Metazoa; Chordata; Mammalia; Primates; Hominidae.